UGGGGAAUAUUGCACAAUGGGCGCAAGCCUGAUGCAGCCAUGCCGCGUGUAUGAAGAAGGCCUUCGGGUUGUAAAGUACUUUCAGAGGGGAGGAAGGCGAUGUGGUUAAUAACCGCGUCGAUUGACGUUACCCGCAGAAGAAGCACCGGCUAACUCCGUGCCAGCAGCCGCGGUAAUACGGAGGGUGCAAGCGUUAAUCGGAAUUACUGGGCGUAAAGCGCACGCAGGCGGUCUGUCAAGUCGGAUGUGAAAUCCCCGGGCUCAACCUGGGAACUGCAUCCGAAACUGGCAGGCUUGAGUCUCGUAGAGGGGGGUAGAAUUCCAGGUGUAGCGGUGAAAUGCGUAGAGAUCUGGAGGAAUACCGGUGGCGAAGGCGGCCCCCUGGACGAAGACUGACGCUCAGGUGCGAAAGCGUGGGGAGCAAACA
RNAcentral lists this ribosomal RNA (427 nucleotides) under uncultured bacterium. RNAcentral describes it as "partial 16S ribosomal RNA". It matches the Rfam family "Bacterial small subunit ribosomal RNA", at positions 355 to 774 of the family's 1533-position model. The record is from RNAcentral.